AGCCGCCCGGAUCCACCCGGGGAGGGUCAUUAGAAACUGAGGAACUUGAGUGCAGAAGAGGAGAGUGUACUUCCACGUGUAGCGAUGAAAUGCGUAGAGAUGUGGACGAACACCAGUGGCGAAGGCGACUCUCUGGUCUGUAACUGACGAUGAGGAGCGAAAGCGUGGGGAGCGAACAGGAUUAGAUACCGUGGUAGUCCACGCCGUAAACGAUGAGUGCUAAGUGUUAGGGGGUUUCCGCCCCUUAGUGCUGCAGCUAACGCAUUAAGCACUCCGCCUGGGGAGUACGGUCGCAAGACUGAAACUCAAAGGAAUUGACGGGGGCCCGCACAAGCGGUGGAGCAUGUGGUUUAAUUCGAAGCAACGCGAAGAACCUUACCAGGUCUUGACAUCCUCUGACAAUCCUAGAGAUAGGACGUCCCCUUCGGGGGCAGAGUGACAGGUGGUGCAUGGUUGUCGUCAGCUCGUGUCGUGAGAUGUUGGGUUAAGUCCCGCAACGAGCGCAACCCUUGAUCUUAGUUGCCAGCAUUCAGUUGGGCACUCUAAGGUGACUGCCGGUGACAAACCGGAGGAAGGUGGGGAUGACGUCAAAUCAUCAUGCCCCUUAUGACCUGGGCUACACACGUGCUACAAUGGACAGAACAAAGGGCAGCGAAACCGCGAGGUUAAGCCAAUCCCACAAAUCUGUUCUCAGUUCGGAUCGCAGUCUGCAACUCGACU
RNAcentral lists this ribosomal RNA (720 nucleotides) under Bacillus cereus. RNAcentral describes it as "bacterial SSU rRNA". It matches the Rfam family "Bacterial small subunit ribosomal RNA", at positions 598 to 1317 of the family's 1533-position model. The record is from RNAcentral. Lineage: Bacteria; Bacillati; Bacillota; Bacilli; Caryophanales; Bacillaceae.